Molecule: ribosomal RNA, 253 nt
Filed under: uncultured bacterium
Lineage: Bacteria
Description: partial 16S ribosomal RNA
Rfam family: Bacterial small subunit ribosomal RNA
Source: RNAcentral
UACGGGGGGGGCAAGCGUUGUUCGGAAUUACUGGGCGUAAAGGGCUCGUAGGCGGCCAACUAAGUCAGACGUGAAAUCCCUCGGCUUAACCGGGGAACUGCAUCUGAUACUGGAUGGCUUGAGAUUGGGAGAGGGAUGCAGAAUUCCAGGUGUAGCGGUGAAAUGCGUAGGUAUCUGGAGGAACACCGGUGGCGAAGGCGGCAUCCUGGACCAACACUGACGCUGAGGAGCGAAAGCCAGGGGAGCAAACGGG